CCACCAAAAAAUAUUUUUGUGUCACAUAUUAAAAAUAUUAAUUCAAAAGUCAAAUAUUAUUGUACACAUUUUAUUAAUCAGUACCCUGUCAGGGCUAUGGUCUCAGAUAUUUCAGAAAGAAAACUGCACAAAAGAGAAUUCAUGAAGGGAUCUUAGCAAGAACAUAAACUAACCCAUUACUUACCAUUACUAAAACAGUGUUAUUACUGUACAUAGAACAUUUUAUACAGUAUUGUUAUGGUUUGGACUGCCAAAAGAUCAGAAACACUGUCUCUAUUCUAGAGCAAUACCCUUCGAGCCCUCUGAGAGUGCCACCUUUCAACUAUCUUUUUGCCGUCAAAACUGUCCAACUCAGGGCCUUCAAUGCUAAUAAAUAAAAGUUUGUGGAGUGAGUCCACUGAAAGGCUGCUUCUCCAGUCAUUUUUAAUUCGUUUCAUUGAACUGAAGCCUCUUUCACAAGCAGCUGUAGACAGAGGAAGUACAAGUAACAGCUCGGCAAUCAGCAAAAGAUUUUUGUACUCAUUUUGACGAUGAUCAUCCAGGAAGAAAUCUCUCCAGGCAUCUUUCUGCAGGCCUGGAAGUAAAGAUUUGAUGAGCACCUUAGCACUUGGCCAUUCCUUGUGUCGAGCAGCAUCACAGUCACAGCCCAUACGAUCCAGAACUUGAGCAAAGUGGUUUGUUAGCAACAAGAGCUCUUCAUUUCCAUAGCUUGCUAAUUCUCCUGUAUCCUUUGGCCACUCUCUUGGAUCCAGGAUGCAGCUUGCUGCCUGGAGAACCUUCUCCGACUCAACACAUUUAAACCUCCGCUGCAGGCUGGACACAACGGCAUUCAGGAGCUCAGCUUUCAUUCUAUGACAUAAAAACAUUUUCAAUAAAUUUUUUAAACUAAAUCACAUAAAGUAUCCUCACCUCCCCUUAUUUUUUUUAAACUAAUCUACCUAUUGAAUCUCCCUUUGCCAUCUUCAGUGAAAUUGGAAAGCUGGACUGUCUGGAACUUGCCCUCAUCUUUUGUAUGGUCAAGGAAUACCUCAAGCUUCUCCCCUGGUGUUAUCUGCAUGCUGACAAGUCUAAGCACUGCUACUUCAAAAGCUUGUGUGGCAGAAUGGGUUUGUGCCCCUCCUAUUUUUGUAAUGUGAGGGUUUAGCCAAUGGGUAGUGAUUUUGAAGGUAUAAAAGCGCAACGCAUCAGUCGUAGGUGUGCGUCAUUGAGGGGGGCCGUAACGUCAUCAGCGCGCCGCCGCUUGUUUGCUCGAGUGGAUUGUUUACAUCCGUGUUGGUAGAGACUGCCGAAGCUGCUAACCACUGUACAAAAGUCUAUUUUGCUGCGUGAGGAACCAAGUGUGGACAAUUGAGACGGAUCUGGGCGCUGGAUGCAGACGAGUGGCUCUAUUGUGGUGGUGGUGUGUCCUUCACCGUGUGUUGUGCUUCUCACUGACACCAGUCUGUGUGUGUGUGCUAUGUUCACCUGAUUGUAGUGAUUAAUUUGGCAUAUGAGACUGCCCCAGUUGAACAGCAGCGUGGUGCUGAUUGGUGACGAUUUCUCCGUGGUGGAUCUGGGCGCUGGGUGCAGACGAGUGGCUCUAUUGUGGUGGUGGUGUGUCCUUCACCGUGUGUUGUGCUUCUCACUGACACCAGUCUGUGUGUGUGUGCUAUGUUCACCUGAUUGUAGUGAUUAAUUUGGCAUAUGAGACUGCCCCAGUUGGUAAGCCCCAGCUCCUUGCCCACAGCAGAAGUGUUUUAUGAUGAGUGGCCAUAUUUUUAAUAUUUGUACAACUCAAUAAAAAUAUUUUUGUACCAUUUACUUCUGUCUCUGACU
Molecule: long non-coding RNA, 1815 nt
Organism: Paramisgurnus dabryanus
Lineage: Eukaryota; Metazoa; Chordata; Actinopteri; Cypriniformes; Cobitidae
Source: RefSeq, a predicted model, not a curated record